Molecule: long non-coding RNA, 1969 nt
Organism: Cuculus canorus (common cuckoo)
Lineage: Eukaryota; Metazoa; Chordata; Aves; Cuculiformes; Cuculidae
Exons: 3
Source: RefSeq, a predicted model, not a curated record
GUGUGGUGGUCGAUGCUCUGCCCUACGAGUGGCUGUGCGCCUUCCCACUGCACCUCCUCGCGGGAACGCCGAGGCUCCCGCCAACUCCUUACCUCCUUCCAGAUGUAAUAGUGACUGAGGAAGCAGCCGAUCUCUCCCCUGCCUCCACUACCUUGACCGCGAUCUCCUGCUCAUACAGAGUCCGCAGCAUCCGAUCCCGCCUGUCUUUCCGACGCUUCAGAUUGAUCAUGAAAAUCUGGGUUGAAGAGAAAGACGUCAGCCUCCCAGCUCGGGUGUGAGGAAUUAAAGGGAAUCCCAGCCCGCUCCCCUCCGGCAGCCCCGCUGGAAAAGCAGAUCCUACCAGUGUUCACAGAGGAAAGCUGCUCUUCAAGGAUCAAUAAAGGUGACAGGAGACCAGUUACAGUCAAGCCUAUAAUUUCCCAAUAUAUAGAUGUUUCGAUUGAUAUUAAACAUAGAGUAAAACGUCCAUCUCCAGCUCCUGUCCCAGAGGAACACUGACCCACACAGUUCUCCACGCCACUGCCACUGCCUGUAUUUAGGAUUAUCCGUGAGCCCAAGGACAAGGGCACAGCAAAGAGAAGCUUUUUGUAAUUAGUUUGGGCACUGAAAUUCCGCUGCUACCCCUUUCUGCCAGAGCAGAGAGCCCAGAGCAGGAACGGAGGUGUCUGGGCAGAGCUCAGCCCAAGCCCCGAGGAGAUGGACUCGGUGGUGGAGCACAGAGGGCUGAACCUUCAUUUGCAGGUAAACUGCAGAGGGUCAGGGAUAUUUUUCAAUGCCAGGCAAGACAAGUGCAGCUCUGUAGCCUGUGGAGCAAAACCUCAUCCCAGUAAGAAGCGGAUCAAAUUCUAGGUCAGUACAAAUGCAAAAAUAAUGAAUUCGAUAAAUAAAGUACAGCCACAAAGGACAACACGGAAAAAGCCUCCACCAGCUGUGUCCUGGACACAGAUGCUCAAACACACACAGCCAAAUCAGGUUCAGACUUUAGGAGUCGUGUAAACAGAUGUAGCAGAAUACGCCAUGAAAACAAAGGCUGCCCUGAUCCCCACGACUCCUGCGGUCACGGUGCCACUGCCACCCUGGCAGCUGCACCCACAGGGACUGCUGGCUCGGGGGACAACUUGGACACUGCUGAACGAAAGCACAGCAGAUGCCGCUCCAGCCCCAUCUCCUCACUCAGCGCCCGCUCUCUGCAACGUGAGAGAGUCGGAAUUUCUGCAGGGUCGUGGUCAGCAACUAUCCUACCAGUUCAUUUUUACUGAAGGUCAUAGCGGAAAAAUGUGCUGCAGGGGGAAACCUGCCACAGUCAGGAGACAUCAGGCAGGAUUCUCGCUCCCUCCAGGACGUAGGUAGCAGAGAGCCCAGUCCUCCAGCUGCUCCAGGCUCUCCAGUCUCUCUCUUGGAUAAGGGAAAUCGUUCCCUCCUAUCACUGGAAAGCAGGAGAGUUUUCCCAAAAGACCAGAACGGAAGGACUGCCAAGCUGCUCCGCAGACUCAGAUGUAGAGGAAACAACACAAGAACCUGGGAGCUAAAGAACCCGCUUUUCAGGCUCAAUUCUGCCGUCUCCUCUUGGCUGGAUUAGAACAUCCAGGCCAUCAAGACAGGCAGCCCAAAGACCUGCUGGGCACCGUCCCUGCACAAACCCGCGCUUCUCAUCAGGGGUUCCGUGAGAGGUACUAAGAGCCCACAGACCUGAUGGGUCUCAUUUCCCUGCAGCAAAUGCCAGAGGGAAAGAACGCUCCCCCAGCCCUUUCCCCUCCGGUUCCCUGAGCUCAGCAGUUCUCCCCACACAGGGACAGCCGGUUUCUCCUUGCAAGCAGUCUCAAUCCAAAAGAUGAGUUAUUAGGCAAGAGCUAACUAUGUGAAAAGAUAAUACACUCUAAAGGAAAUGGCUGGAAGCUCAGGUCUAGGGUGAACUCAGGUCAUUUAAGUGAUCAACAGGAAGACAAAGCCACUGACAGCAAAACAGGUU